GUCUUCCUGGGCCUCAUGGGCUGUAAUGUGACAUCAGCUGUAUGCCCAAGAGUGAAGGGUAUGGGUCUGGCUCCUGGUGGUGCUGGACCAAGAUAUAAGCAGGUCAUCUGUAAGGCUGAACUGCUGCAGAAGACCAAGUUUAUUCUGCAGCUCCUCAGUGUGACAUCUGGAAACCUACCAGGUUAAAUGGAUAGUCAGCGACAAAUGCAGGAUCUUCAAAAUACUUUCUACAGAAAGCUGUUCCUGGGGGGAGAAUUCAGUGGAAUAUGGCUAACACUGAAGGAGGUCUUAUCUUUGGUAAAAGCAAUAGUGCUAGGAUUCUUGUUCCUUUUCUGGGCAAGUGCUGGCCAUGCCAUGGACUGCAGUCUGACAACAAGCCCUUUACAAGCUCUUUGCCACGAUUCAGUGAUCAUCUUUAAUCUGUAUAAUUCUGUUAUUUUCUCUGCUUACUCCCACUUAAGAAUGGCAAUAUCUACAGGUCAUGAGUGAAGGAAAAGUUCUGGGGAGUGCUGUUCUGAUGGUACUUGUCCCAGGCAAUGUGACUUUAUAACUGGGUGCUUACAGAAGAGUAAUUUCAGUUAAUCUAAUAAUUAGCAGUUUCAAGGAAUCCAUGGGAACCAGAGCUUUCUGUUGUAUUCUGUCUUUGUGAGUGGCGAUGUUUGGAUCAGUUUACUGACAUUGCACACCCUAGUGAGCAUAUACUCUAACAUCGAAGAACAGGCUAGUGCUGUGAUACUUCAAACAGUGUGGAAAAAAGCAUUCAGCUAUUGUUUUAAAUUGUCAUUGCUG
Molecule: long non-coding RNA, 789 nt
Filed under: Anser brachyrhynchus (Pink-footed goose)
Lineage: Eukaryota; Metazoa; Chordata; Aves; Anseriformes; Anatidae
Description: lncRNA (ENSABRG00000022433.1)
Source: RNAcentral